Molecule: non-coding RNA, 21 nt
Filed under: Caenorhabditis elegans
Lineage: Eukaryota; Metazoa; Nematoda; Chromadorea; Rhabditida; Rhabditidae
Source: RNAcentral
UAAGGUAAAUUUUAAAACAUA